RNAcentral lists this ribosomal RNA (430 nucleotides) under uncultured bacterium. RNAcentral describes it as "bacterial SSU rRNA". It matches the Rfam family "Bacterial small subunit ribosomal RNA", at positions 355 to 776 of the family's 1533-position model. The record is from RNAcentral.
UGGGGAAUUGUUCACAAUGGGCGCAAGCCUGAUGACGCAACGCCGCGUGGGGGAUGAAGGUCUUCGGAUCGUAAACCCUUGUCGAACGGGAAGAACGACUCGCGCACUAACACUGCGCGGGACUGACGGUACCGUUAAAGGAAGCCACGGCUAACUCUGUGCCAGCAGCCGCGGUAAUACAGAGGUGGCAAGCGUUGUUCGGAAUUACUGGGCGUAAAGGGCGCGUAGGCGGCCAUCUAAGUCAGACGUGAAAUCCCCAGGCUUAACCUGGGAACUGCGUCUGAUACUGGAAGGCUCGAGUUUGGGAGAGGGAUGUGGAAUUCCAGGUGUAGCGGUGAAAUGCGUAGAUAUCUGGAGGAACACCGGUGGCGAAGGCGGCAUCCUGGACCAACACUGACGCUGAGGCGCGAAAGCUAGGGGAGCAAACGGG